AUUGAUUUUAUGCUUGCAUAAAUGAUUUUUGGAUUCGGAGCGAGUGGCGAACUGGUGAGUAACACGUGGGUAACCUGCCCCGAAGCGGGGGAUAACAUUUGGAAACAAGUGCUAAUACCGCAUAAUUAGUUGGAACCGCAUGGUUCCAACUUGAAAGAUGGCUCUGCUAUCACUUUGGGAUGGACCCGCGCCGUAUUAGUUAGCUGGUGAGAUAAAAGCCCACCAAGACGAUGAUACGUAGCCGACCUGAGAGGGUAAUCGGCCACAUUGGGACUGAGACACGGCCCAGACUCCUACGGGAGGCAGCAGUAGGGAAUCUUCCACAAUGGACGAAAGUCUGAUGGAGCAACGCCGCGUGAGUGAUGAAGGUUUUCGGAUCGUAAAACUCUGUUGUUAAAGAAGAACAAGUGUUAGAGUAACUGUUAACACUUUGACGGUAUUUAACCAGAAAGCCACGGCUAACUACGUGCCAGCAGCCGCGGUAAUACGUAGGUGGCAAGCGUUGUCCGGAUUUAUUGGGCGUAAAGCGAGCGCAGGCGGUUUUGUAAGUCUGCUGUGAAAGCCCUCAGCUCAACUGAGGAAGUGCAGUGGAAACUACAAAACUUGAGUACAGAAGAGGAAAGUGGAACUCCAUGUGUAGCGGUGAAAUGCGUAGAUAUAUGGAAGAACACCAGUGGCGAAGGCGGCUUUCUGGUCUGUUACUGACGCUGAGGCUCGAAAGCAUGGGUAGCGAACAGGAUUAGAUACCCUGGUAGUCCAUGCCGUAAACGAUGAAUACUAGGUGUUGGAGGGUUUCCGCCCUUCAGUGCCGCAGCUAACGCAUUAAGUAUUCCGCCUGGGGAGUACGACCGCAAGGUUGAAACUCAAAGGAAUUGACGGGGGCCCGCACAAGUGGUGGAGCAUGUGGUUUGAUUCGAUGCUACGCGAAGAACCUUACCAGCUCUUGACAUCUUCUGCCAACCCAAGAGAUUGGGCGUUCCCUUCGGGGACAGAAUGACAGGUGGUGCAUGGUUGUCGUCAGCUCGUGUCGUGAGAUGUUGGGUUAAGUCCCGCAACGAGCGCAACCCUUAUUAUUAGUUGCCAGCAUUUAGUUGGGCACUCUAGUGAGACUGCCGGUGAUAAA
This 1123-nucleotide ribosomal RNA is filed under the name uncultured bacterium. Its description in RNAcentral is "bacterial SSU rRNA". It matches the Rfam family "Bacterial small subunit ribosomal RNA", at positions 47 to 1162 of the family's 1533-position model. The record is from RNAcentral.